UACGUAGGUGGCAAGCGUUGUCCGGAUUUACUGGGCGUAAAGGGCGCGUAGGCGGCUUGACAAGUCACUUGUGAAAUCUCCGGGCUUAACUCGGAACGGCCAAGUGAAACUGUCAUGCUAGAGUGCAGAAGGGGCAAUCGGAAUUCUUGGUGUAGCGGUGAAAUGCGUAGAUAUCAAGAGGAACACCUGAGGUGAAGACGGGUUGCUGGGCUGACACUGACGCUGAGGCGCGAAAGCCAGGGGAGCAAACGGG
Molecule: ribosomal RNA, 253 nt
Filed under: uncultured bacterium
Lineage: Bacteria
Description: partial 16S ribosomal RNA
Rfam family: Bacterial small subunit ribosomal RNA
Source: RNAcentral